Molecule: ribosomal RNA, 547 nt
Filed under: uncultured bacterium
Lineage: Bacteria
Description: bacterial SSU rRNA
Rfam family: Bacterial small subunit ribosomal RNA
Source: RNAcentral
UAGGGAAUCUUCCACAAUGGGCGCAAGCCUGAUGGAGCAACACCGCGUGAGUGAAGAAGGGUUUCGGCUCGUAAAGCUCUGUUGUUAAAGAAGAACACGUAUGAGAGUAACUGUUCAUACGUUGACGGUAUUUAACCAGAAAGUCACGGCUAACUACGUGCCAGCAGCCGCGGUAAUACGUAGGUCCCGAGCGUUAUCCGGAUUUAUUGGGCGUAAAGCGAGCGCAGGCGGUUAGAUAAGUCUGAAGUUAAAGGCUGUGGCUUAACCAUAGUACGCUUUGGAAACUGUUUAACUUGAGUGCAGAAGGGGAGAGUGGAAUUCCAUGUGUAGCGGUGAAAUGCGUAGAUAUAUGGAGGAACACCGGUGGCGAAAGCGGCUCUCUGGUCUGUAACUGACGCUGAGGCUCGAAAGCGUGGGGAGCAAACAGGAUUAGAUACCCUGGUAGUCCACGCCGUAACGAUGAGUGCUAGGUGUUGGGUCCUUUCCGGGACUCAGUGCCGCAGCUAACGCAUUAAGCACUCCGCCUGGGGAGUACGACCGCAAGGUU